Brassica napus (rape) is the source of this 479-nucleotide long non-coding RNA. RefSeq lists it as uncharacterized. NCBI's taxonomy places the organism in Eukaryota, Viridiplantae, Streptophyta, Magnoliopsida, Brassicales, Brassicaceae. The transcript is spliced from 2 exons. The record is from RefSeq and is a predicted model, not a curated record.
UCGAAAAAGACUAGGAAGACUCGAUAAAGACUUGAAAACCAAUUGAAAAGCAUAUAUACAAGAUGUAUAAAACACCAUAUAUCACUUACCUUUCUGCAAAAAAAUUGUUACUGUAGGUGUUCCAAGCAGAAAUACCUGAAAGAGGAAGUAAGACAGUUGGCAAGCCACAAUCAUGUCAUCGUAAAAUUGCAAAAAGAUUAACAGGAGCAUCAUGGCCAUGGGUGGUCCGAAACGAGAAUGGCCAACUCCUCAUGCACAGCUGAAGGUCAUAUACUCAGGUUGAUUCUAUAAUAUUGGCCAAAAUGAAGAGUUGGAAAUGGACACUUGAAAAUAUGAGAAGUCUGGUUUUGCUUUGUUAUUUUAUUAGCAGGAUGCUUUGCUCUGCUCUUAUGUGAAGCUUAUUUUGUGGUUGAACUUUGGAUUGUUUGCAUGAGUAUGAAUGAAUUUAUAUAGAGGAAAAAAAACAUUUUACUAGAGAA